CCUACGGGUGGCAGCAGUGAGGAAUAUUGGUCAAUGGACGCUAGCCUGAACCAGCCAUGCCGCGUGCAGGAUGACUGCUCUAUGAGUUGUAAACUGCUUUUAUAUGAGGGUAAACUCCAGUAUGUAUACUGCGUUGCAAGUAUCGUACGAAUAAGGAUCGGCUAACUCCGUGCCAGCAGCCGCGGUAAUACGGAGGAUCCGAGCGUUAUCCGGAUUUAUUGGGUUUAAAGGGUGCGUAGGCGGUUUGUUAAGUCAGUGGUGAAAUGUUGGGGCUCAACCGCGAAAUUGCAGCUAAUACUGUCAGACUAGAGUAUAGUUGAGGUAGGCGGAAUGCAUGGUGUAGCGGUGAAAUGCUUAGAGAUCAUACAGAACACCGAUUGCGAAGGCAGCCUACCGAACUAUAACUGACGCUGAGGCACGAAAGUGUGGGUAGCAAACAGGAUUAGAUACCCGAGUAGUC
RNAcentral lists this ribosomal RNA (460 nucleotides) under uncultured bacterium. RNAcentral describes it as "partial 16S ribosomal RNA". It matches the Rfam family "Bacterial small subunit ribosomal RNA", at positions 338 to 795 of the family's 1533-position model. The record is from RNAcentral.